Molecule: ribosomal RNA, 621 nt
Filed under: uncultured bacterium
Lineage: Bacteria
Description: bacterial SSU rRNA
Rfam family: Bacterial small subunit ribosomal RNA
Source: RNAcentral
CCUACGGGAGGCAGCAGUGGGGAAUUUUGGACAAUGGGCGCAAGCCUGAUCCAGCAAUGCCGCGUGAGUGAAGAAGGCCUUCGGGUUGUAAAGCUCUUUUGUCAGGGAAGAAACGGUUGUUCCUAAUACGGAUGGCUAAUGACGGUACCUGAAGAAUAAGCACCGGCUAACUACGUGCCAGCAGCCGCGGUAAUACGUAGGGUGCAAGCGUUAAUCGGAAUUACUGGGCGCAAAGCGUGCGCAGGCGGUUAUAUAAGUCAGAUGUGAAAUCCCCGGGCUCAACCUGGGAACUGCAUUUGAGACUGUAUGGCUAGAGUGUGUCAGAGGGGGGUAGAAUUCCACGUGUAGCAGUGAAAUGCGUAGAUAUGUGGAGGAAUACCGAUGGCGAAGGCAGCCCCCUGGGAUAACACUGACGCUCAUGCACGAAAGCGUGGGGAGCAAACAGGAUUAGAUACCCUGGUAGUCCACGCCCUAAACGAUGUCUACUAGUUGUCGGGACUUAAUUGUCUUGGUAACGCAGCUAACGCGUGAAGUAGACCGCCUGGGGAGUACGGUCGCAAGAUUAAAACGUAGAAAGUAGUAGCGNGAGAGAGACGACGACGGACGACGAGGAGGGAGGAG